Molecule: ribosomal RNA, 464 nt
Filed under: uncultured bacterium
Lineage: Bacteria
Description: partial 16S ribosomal RNA
Rfam family: Bacterial small subunit ribosomal RNA
Source: RNAcentral
GACGAACGCUGGCGGCGCGCCUAACACAUGCAAGUCGAACGAGCAAGAGAGAGCUUGCUUUCUUGAGCGAGUGGCGAACGGGUGAGUAACGCGUGAGGAACCUGCCUCAAAGAGGGGGACAACAGUUGGAAACGACUGCUAAUACCGCAAGCCAACGGUGCCGCAUGGCACAGCGGGAAAAGGAGCAAUCCGCUUUGAGAUGGCCUCGCGUCCGAUUAGCUAGUUGGUGAGGUAACGGCCCACCAAGGCGACGAUCGGUAGCCGGACUGAGAGGUUGAACGGCCACAUUGGGACUGAGACACGGCCCAGACUCCUACGGGAGGCAGCAGUGGGGAAUAUUGCACAAUGGGGGAAACCCUGAUGCAGCGACGCCGCGUGAAGGAAGAAGGUCUUCGGAUUGUAAACUCCUGUUGUUGGGGAAGAUAAUGACGGUACCCAACAAGGAAGUGACGGCUAACUACGUG